RNAcentral lists this transfer RNA (71 nucleotides) under Schizocardium brasiliense. RNAcentral describes it as "tRNA-Leu". It matches the Rfam family "tRNA". From Rfam's summary of the family: Transfer RNA (tRNA) molecules are approximately 80 nucleotides in length. Their secondary structure includes four short double-helical elements and three loops (D, anti-codon, and T loops). Lineage: Eukaryota; Metazoa; Hemichordata; Enteropneusta; Spengelidae. The record is from RNAcentral.
GCUAGAGUGGCAGAACGGUAAUGCGAAGGACUUAGGAUCCUCUUGAGGAGGUUCAAUUCCUCCCUUUAGCU